GCGGCCACGGAACAACCUGGUCCCGACCCCUGACCCAAAAAAUGAUUCUGAUGAGGAUCCAUGGAUACUUCAUCUCUGGCAUCGGAGAAGAAUUCAAGCGAAGAAAAGCAAUAAAAAAUGAUGCCUCGUCCGUUUCAUUCUAUGUAGGAAUCCGCCAACCCUCUUAUCGCCAAUCACUUCUUCCUUUGCCUCUCCUCGCCGCCGUGUCACCCGCGCCUGCCCCUACCUACCCCUUGUACCGUGUCUUUGGGGGAAGGGUUGACCUGAGCAACCAAAAUAAAUAAAUAAUUGCCCGAGAGAGUGGAGAAAAAGAAAGAAAGGGAAAAAAAAAGUAUAAGAAAGGCCAAGAGGCGCCGGGGAAUCCAAGCCGUUGGCGGAUUGUGACGAGAAGGUCAACGCCUCAAACUCAGCUAUUUCUCGGCUCUUUUCAUCUUCGUGCCUCAUUCUCCCAUUUCCCUUUCUUAAAUAGGUCUCGAUGUCGCGACCGCGGAAGUCCAGUAAUCUCGGUGCAGAUAUCAGAGGAGACACUGGAGCUCCUGCGAUAUCCACUAUGAAUUCUCAUUCGCCAUCCCCUGAAGCUCCGUCGGUACGGCACACACAGCGUGGAGCGUCUGAAAGGAGCGGAAAAUCACACUCCAAGCGGCGACGGGCGCGGUCAUUCUUCCGGCGAUGGAAAGAUACCUCCCUCAAACAUACGUGGCUAACACCACUUAUCCUAUUGCUCAUUAUCCUCGCCACAUACGCAGUGAACCCGACAGAAUCCAACCCAGUCCACAGUGCUAUCUUCCUCUCAUACCCUAACCCCCCUGAAACUCCCGGCGGCCCCAUCAUGUACGGAAAGGGCAAGAAAGAUCUCGCCUUCGUCGGUUUCUACACAAUUGUUCUCUCCUUCACCCGCGAAUUCAUCAUGCAACGAAUAAUACGACCGUGGGGCGUAUACUGUGGGAUCAAGAGCAAGGCUAAAUUGGCCCGGUUUAUGGAACAGGUGUACACGGCGAUCUACUUUGCUUUAUUCGGGCCCUUUGGGCUCUACGUCAUGAGCAAGACGGAUAUCUGGUACUUUAACACGACGCCAAUGUUUGAAGGGUUCCCACACAGGCUGCAUACAGCGGAUUUCAAGGCUUAUUACUUGCUCGAGGCUAGUUACUGGGCGCAACAGGCAAUCGUGCUGCUUCUGCUGCUGGAGAAGCCCAGGAAGGAUUUCAAGGAACUAGUCGCGCAUCAUAUUAUUACCCUGGCGCUUAUUGGGCUCAGUUACCGCUUUCAUUUCACCUACAUUGGUCUUGCGGUUUAUAUCACUCAUGAUAUUUCGGACUUCUUCCUUGCGACCUCCAAAACUCUCAAUUACCUGGACUCCGUCCUCAUCGGUCCAUACUUCAUUACGUUUAUAGGCGUCUGGAUAUACAUGCGCCAUUACCUUAAUCUCCGCAUCCUCUGGGCAGUUCUUACGGAAUUCCAAACCGUCGGUCCCUUUGAACUCAAUUGGGAAACCCAACAGUACAAAUGUCGUCUCAGCCAAGUUAUCACUUUUGGCCUUCUCAGCGCACUACAAGCCGUCAACCUGUUAUGGCUGUUCCUAAUCCUCCGCAUUGCAAAGAACUACGUCUUGAGCGACGUGAGGAAGGACGAGCGGAGUGAGGACGAAGAAGAAGAGGAGCAGGAAGAGGACCAGCAGCCCACGCUUACCAAAGAUGCUCAAGUUUGCGGCAAUGCUGGGACUGGGACUGGAGCCAUUGGCUCUGCGAACAAUGGUAGCGCGGAUGCAACGCAUGUUACGAGGAGGACAGCCAAGACUAAGGAAAACGAUGCUGUCACGGGCCCGAGAGCUAUAGUUAAUGGAGCUACGACGGUUGACUCUCAAUCGGCCAAGCCGGUGCUGGACUACAACAAUUAGGUGGGUUGUGAGCCGCGCUACCUUUUGUUCGUCCUCUUUGGAUUGUUUAUGAACCAAAUUGAAGGUGUCAGAGGUUUUCAGUGCUCUGCCAGUGCCACUCUCUCCCCCAAUCAAUCUCUCAUAGGCAGUUGUCGAAGAAUUUUUUUUUAUGGGGGUGCAAUCCCAUUAUGGAAAUAAGAUGAUUGCCAUGGUAUGGGUAUUAAGCAUAUAUGCAUUCCCCAGGUAUGAUCUGUUGUAUGCAGGAAAAGAGAACAAUAAGAGAACCCCCUGGCUAAGAAAAUCAUCGUUUUUGGCAUUUUCUCUCCCUCUCUCCAUCUUCCUCUUGAGCAUCACAAUUGCAUUGGCAGAUACACAUGUACAGUACAUAUACGUAUUUUUCUUUUCUCCUUUGCCUUUUUUUUCCUUCCCCUUUUAUAAAACCCAUACAUAACUUCUUAAUGUCUGUUUAUUUUCCCAGUGAGAAGAGAAAUGGAGGGUGGGAUGGAGGUUUUGUCUGAUCGGGCAUCAUUAAUUAAGUUUAUCAAUCGAUCUUGAAUCCCCUAUCCAUUGUCCCGCGCCCCUUUUGAGAUGGUUUCUGUCCUGCUUUUGUGUCCCUACUUUGUGUAAUACCCCAACCCCACGUCCUUGAUGUUCUUGUUUGAAGGGUCGUGUGCAUCGGAUAGAGAUUCGUGGAUGAUUCAUGGAUGGAUGGAUGGAUGGAUGAUAAGCCAUGAGCAUGAUGUGAUGGUAUGUACAGUACAGUACAUGAACGAUUAUCAGGGUUUUUUUUUUUUUUUUUGGACGUGAUGGGGUGUUCAUGUGUUGAUCUUCCCCAC
Molecule: small RNA, 2709 nt
Filed under: Histoplasma ohiense
Lineage: Eukaryota; Fungi; Ascomycota; Eurotiomycetes; Onygenales; Ajellomycetaceae
Description: hypothetical lncRNA
Source: RNAcentral